CUUUAGCCCUGAUGGGAGAGGAAAUCCUGGCACUGUGAGAUUGCCGCGCAAGCUCGCAAUGACAAAUUGCAAAGGACAGCAGGAAUUGCC
RNAcentral lists this small RNA (90 nucleotides) under Flavobacterium saliperosum. RNAcentral describes it as "Flavo-1 RNA". It matches the Rfam family "Flavo-1 RNA". Lineage: Bacteria; Pseudomonadati; Bacteroidota; Flavobacteriia; Flavobacteriales; Flavobacteriaceae. The record is from RNAcentral.